RNAcentral lists this ribosomal RNA (577 nucleotides) under uncultured bacterium. RNAcentral describes it as "bacterial SSU rRNA". It matches the Rfam family "Bacterial small subunit ribosomal RNA", at positions 56 to 629 of the family's 1533-position model. The record is from RNAcentral.
UGCAGUCGAGCGGUAGAGAGAAGCUUGCUUCUCUUGAGAGCGGCGGACGGGUGAGUAAUACCUAGGAAUCUGCCUGAUAGUGGGGGAUAACGUUCGGAAACGGACGCUAAUACCGCAUACGUCCUACGGGAGAAAGCAGGGGACCUUCGGGCCUUGCGCUAUCAGAUGAGCCUAGGUCGGAUUAGCUAGUUGGUGAGGUAAUGGCUCACCAAGGCUACGAUCCGUAACUGGUCUGAGAGGAUGAUCAGUCACACUGGAACUGAGACACGGUCCAGACUCCUACGGGAGGCAGCAGUGGGGAAUAUUGGACAAUGGGCGAAAGCCUGAUCCAGCCAUGCCGCGUGUGUGAAGAAGGUCUUCGGAUUGUAAAGCACUUUAAGUUGGGAGGAAGGGCAUUAACCUAAUACGUUGGUGUCUUGACGUUACCGACAGAAUAAGCACCGGCUAACUCUGUGCCAGCAGCCGCGGUAAUACAGAGGGUGCAAGCGUUAAUCGGAAUUACUGGGCGUAAAGCGCGCGUAGGUGGUUUGUUAAGUUGAAUGUGAAAUCCCCGGGCUCAACCUGGGAACUGCAUCCA